This is a long non-coding RNA of Lynx canadensis (Canada lynx), 225 nucleotides long. RefSeq lists it as uncharacterized. NCBI's taxonomy places the organism in Eukaryota, Metazoa, Chordata, Mammalia, Carnivora, Felidae. The record is from RefSeq and is a predicted model, not a curated record. The transcript has 3 exons.
AGGCUGUUGAGGGGACAUCUCAGGAGUACCGAGCAGCAGGGGAAGCCCAGGCUGGGGUGGAAGGCCCGGUGGAUUUGUAGCAGAGCAGUGAGUCCAUCUGAGGGGGCGUCAAUGGGGGUCACCUUCCUCUCCAGUGGAAAGUGACAGAAGAGGGGUAAGGGAAGCUCCUGUGGGAAUCCCAGUGACAGAUCUGGGGGCUGGGACCUAAGGGGGUGGCAGUGGUAG